Prunus avium (sweet cherry) is the source of this 632-nucleotide non-coding RNA. NCBI's taxonomy places the organism in Eukaryota, Viridiplantae, Streptophyta, Magnoliopsida, Rosales, Rosaceae. The record is from RefSeq and is a predicted model, not a curated record.
UGACUCACCCAGUGUAGUGUUUUGUAAGGUUCUAAAUUAUAAGCUUCUGGUUUCUCUCCCUGAUUAAAAGGCCUUUAAAUGCCCAAUGGGCAGCCUUUUCAGUUUCUUCUUGACCAAACGGGACAAUUGAUGUGAAUUCCAACUUGUGUGGUGCUUUUUUUUUUCUCAGGGGAAGUUGGAGGAUGGGAGAGAGAUUGCGGUGAAGAAGUUGUCACAAAGUUCAAAUCAAGGAAAGAAAGAGUUUAUGAACGAGGCCAAGUUGUUAGCUCGUGUGCAGCACCGCAAUGUGGUGAAUUUGUUGGGCUAUUGUGCACAUGGGGUGGAGAAACUACUUGUGUAUGAGUAUGUCGCAAAUGAGAGCCUUGACAAGCUUCUCUUCAGAUUUUGGAUAGAUUGCUUUAGUUGUCAAGAUGGAACUUAUUCGAACCCCCAAUUCCAUCAAAUUUCCUGAUAUGUCUGUCAAAAUUGUAUGGAAAUUUGUUCUGGCCAGCAUUGCUUUACAUAUGCUGAAAUUUGGUGAAACUUGCUUUGCAUAUGCAAAGAAUGAUUCUUACAAAAUUAAUAGUCAUUUGGAAUUAUAGGGAUGCCUUGUUUUUUAGGCCAAUGUUCCGCUACAUUGGAGAAUCGAGAUA